Oncorhynchus nerka (sockeye salmon) is the source of this 2372-nucleotide long non-coding RNA. RefSeq lists it as uncharacterized. The record is from RefSeq and is a predicted model, not a curated record. The transcript is spliced from 3 exons. Lineage: Eukaryota; Metazoa; Chordata; Actinopteri; Salmoniformes; Salmonidae.
GUUGUCGACUAGACGUAAGAAGUUUUAAGAACAAAGUCUUAUUUACAUUGACAUGGCCUAGGAACAGUGGGUUAACUGGUCUAGGAACAGUGGGUUAACUGGUCUAGGAACAGUGGGUUAACUGGUCUAGGAACAGUGGGUUAACUGGUCUAGGAACAGUAGGUUAACUGGUCUAGGAACAGUGGGUUAACUGGUCUAGGAACAGUGGGUUAACUGCCUUGUUCAGAACAACGGAUCUUUACCUUGUCAGCUCGGGGAUUCGAUCUAGACACUUUUUAGUUACUGGCCCAACACUCUAACCACUAGGCUACCUGCCGAUCCUAGAUCAUAAUGAAUCAGAUUACAUGGAGAGGGGGGACCUGAUCCUAGAUCAUAAUGAAUCAGAUUACAUGGACAGGGGAGACCUGAUCCUAGAUUAGCACUCCUCAUCUGAGACACUGCCUAUAUGAAUAAGGAAUGCUGUUGUUAAGUCUAGUUACAGCAGGUGUUUACUGCCAUCUAGUGGAAGAUACUAAUAAAACACUACAUUAUCAGGCUGGGGAGACGGCUGAGUGCAGGAUCCAUGGUGAGAUGACAGAGCAGAAAACACUAUAUUAUCAGGGUGGGGAGACGGCUGAGUGCAGGAUCCAUGGUGAGAUGACAGAGCAGAAAACACUAUAUGGAGAGAAGUACAAAUAAAUUAUUUCUGAACAAUAAAGGACAGAGUAAGAUAAUAAAUAGUAAUAAAUAAAUAAUAAAUACCUGGAAUGACAUAUUAUUACAUAUUAUUACUAGUCUCACAGGGUUCUGUCGUCAUUAUUUUACCAUACACCAGUGACGUCAGAAGUGACGUGUUCCUCAUAUGAAAGUGAAAGUAAGAGUGUGGUCUACGCCUUUAUAAACCAGCUGUUGAAACUGUAGCGCACAUUUCUCUGGUUACUGUUAUAUAAAGUGAAAGUAAGAGUGUGGUCUACGCCUUUAUAAACCAGCUGUUGAAACCGUAGCGCACAUUUCUCUGCAACAUUAGAAGCAGGAUAAAUGUGUUGAUUUGAAGGACAGACGGACAGACUGGUAAGUCUUGGCUACAUAUAACUAUUAUAAAGUUAGGUCGUAGUCAGACAUUCAAUAGACAGAGUAACCCUGAGAUAUGAUUCUUUAUCAUGCGCCCGGUUUCCACGAUGGAAUUUAGGUGUAACGUUGGGAACGCAUGAUAAGUGAGCAAACGAUAAUUAACAGAAUACAAAUUGGAGUUGAGCUAUUUUACAAAUAAAAUGGUGCGUAAGCUCGUUUACAUGGGUUUACCCUCCACUACAUCCCCGUUGAUGCGGUGUGCAGCGUAGAGUGCAUAGUCAUUUAUUUUUAUUUCACUUAUAUUUAACUCGGCAAGUCAGAACACAUUGUUAUUAACAUUGACGACCUACCCCGGCCAAACCUUGACGACGCUGGGCCAAUUGUGCUCCACCCUAUGGGACUCCCAAUCAUGCAGCCUGGAUUCUAACCAGGUCCUGCAGUGACGCAAGAGGCGGGACUCUGCACCACUCGGGAGGCGGCUGAGCUGACACAGAAAGUCAAGUUGUUGUUUUGUACAGGAUCCAUGGUGAGACAACAGAGCAGAAAACACUACAUGGAGAUGACUGACAAAUAGGGGUCAGUGCUCUAAAAUGAGUCUCUCUGGGGAGAGAGAGGAGGGUGGCCCUGUCUCUAAAAUGAGUCUCUCUGGGGAGAGAGAGGAGGGGGGCCCUGCCUCUAAAAUUCAUCUCUCUGAGGGACAUGACACCAAAGAUAAGAGCGCCCGGCCCGGGAUUCGAACCAGCCACCCUUCGGUCACAGCUCCAACUCCAACCUGAAUUAAUCUUCAGAAAUAAGCCUGAGUUAAUCUGCCAAAAUGAAGACAAAAUGCUAUGCAGUUAUACAUAAAUAUUAUACAUAAAUCAUUGCCAAAAGCACAAGACAUACUGUUGCAUGUAGGUCUGUAUUAUUUAUGGGUUGAUCACAUAGAAAUAUAAAAACAUUAUUUUUAACUACUGCAAUGCAAUUACAUGUGGCUCAGGAACCACUGACUCACUGCAUUAUUCUAUAGUAUUAUCAAGACACCUGCUGUUAACUCUUAACUACUUAGGACAGCUCACCAGGUGUCCUAAAUAUCUACUGACUAGGUGGGUAGGUAAUUUAGGCAAUGGGUAGGUAACUAGGUCAUUUAUACCCAUAAGUGUAAAAUGUCUUUAUUCUCAGCACUUAUACGACCAAUUUUCUACUCAGACACUUUGUGGAUAUGGACCCAGAUCUCAACAUAUUGUCAUAAAAAAACUGAAUGUUUGAUCUCAAAAUGUUGUUAUAAUUUUGUAAAAAUGUUUGUUAAACAUAAUAAUAAAAAAUGAAUAUUACUAAUGUAA